RNAcentral lists this long non-coding RNA (2458 nucleotides) under Marmota monax (woodchuck). The record is from RNAcentral. Lineage: Eukaryota; Metazoa; Chordata; Mammalia; Rodentia; Sciuridae.
CUUGAAUUCAAUUGCAUAUUGAGAAGAAGAACCAGAAUUCUCAAGCUGGCAAAGGGCUCUCUGUAAGAGGCAAAUCAGUUGCUAGAAAACAGUAUUUUGGUGAUGUUCCUGUGGGUGUCUGCAUCACUUACGAGAGCUUAAUCACAUACCAUGCUCCUACAAAUCAAUAAGGAGAAACAAACAGCCUACAAAAAUAGGAAAACCCAGUAUCGGCUGUUUAUAAAAGAUGACAUACCAAAAAUUAAGUAAUCCAAAUCAUAUUAGAGUAAUCCAAAGGAAAUAUAAAGUACAUGUGUUUGCCUAUCAAAUACAAAGAAUAAAGAGAGUGAGAAAAUCUAAUGUUAACAGUGUUGGAAAAUUCAAUUCUCAAGCUCUGAUAACUGCAAUACAAAAUUGUCAUACCUCUUCUGCAGAGAAGUUUUAGAAAAUAUGCCAAAAUUUAAAGUGCAUGCCUACAUUUAGCUCAAGAAUUUCAAUUUAAAUAAGUCAUCCAUUGUUACUGUGGCUAAUUUUUUACUUUGACCCUGAAGUUGUCCACUGUAAUCAUUUUACAUGUAUAUAUAAAAUAUAUUUUACUAGGAUUUUGGGGGGGGUGUAUUUGUACACAAUGUUUUUAGUUUAUUGAUUUAUUUUUAUGUGGUGCUGAAGAUCAAACCCAAGGCCUCUUCUAUGCCAGCUGAGCACUCUACCAUUGAGCUACAACCCCAGUCUCUCUAGUGUUUUGUUUCUUAAAAAUACUUUUACAUAUCUGUAUACAUAUUCCUAUAGAAUUAUAUCUCAGACACACUUUUAAAAAAGUUACCGCAUGGGCUGGAACUGUAGCUCAGCCAUAGCACAUUUGCUUUGCAUGUCCGAGGCCCUGUGUUCCAUUCUCAGCACCAUUUAUAAAUGCAUAAAAUAAAGAUCUAUCCACAACCAAAAAAAAAAAAAUUAAGAAAAGAAUAUAGAUGGCGCUUUAAAAAAAAGUUAACACAACUGUAGUUGUACAUGUUCAUGAUAUGAGACAAUUAACAUGUUAACUUUUUAAAAAGGAGUAUUGUUCUAUGGCACCAAAGAGAAUCCCAUUAUGAUACAGCCAUCACAAUCAUUUGACCAUCCCCAGGACUUUUCUAUUCAUGAAUUCACCCUGUCCUCAUUCAAUAUAUUACCAAUUAUCCCUGUACCUCAUCCCAGUAACCACCGUUCUACUUCCUGUCUAUAUGAAUUUGAUUAUUUCAAAGAUUUAUUUUAACACCACCAAAGUACAAGAGUAAUGUGUGCUGGUGUAUGUGUGUACAUGUACACACACACAUACACCUCCAUAUACAUACAAAACAUGCAUUCGUAACUACCUUUGCCUUCUUGCUUUCCACAUUGAGGUUUAGAAAUCUUCCUAUAUUGUGCAAACAUUCAUUUAUUUUGUUCCUAUAAUUUGAUUGAUAUCUACAUCUAUGAUGGCCCUGCCCUUUCCCUGGUCUACCAGCUUCGAAGCACACAGCAAGUGCCCUCAUGCCUCAUGCUUGCCUGGCUUAUGACAGAGCCCAGAGAACAAAUUUCUAAAUUUCAGUAUUCAAGAAGAUUUUUUUUUUUCUGCUUGAUUUUUCUUUUCCCAGGAGGGAAUUAUGGGUGACUAUUUCUAAUGUAACCACUAGACGGCGCUGAAAGACCAUGUUGUGGCCACAGGUGUGCCCUUCUCCCCUCUCCUAGAGGGCUCCAGAACACCUCAGGCAGACUGGCUUUGCCUAGUCUCCCUGAGAGUGAGCAAAAGGCUGCCUUCUGUCACUCACCUGGCCCAGCUAGCACCUGGCACCUGGCAGGUAGAAAAGGCACCACUUCCCUUCUCCACACCACUGCAGACCCCAUGGCUAGAUGGACGCCCAGUGGACUUUUCCCCUCAAAAGUCUUUACUAUUUUUAUUUCUAAUGAUUGGUGCUCAUUAUAAAAAUUUUAAGCAACAUAUGGAUAAAUCAAAAUCCCCGCAUGCCCAGUAUGACCCCUGUUCCAAAUAGCUCAUCUAAGUCAACGCUAUGCAGAGAACGCUGGCUGGACAAAGAGAUGGGCAUGGACAUUACACCUUGUAGCUGUGAGUUCCUGCUCUACAUGCUAGGAUUUAAAGAGAUGUCACGUGCCCCAUUCAUUUCUACUUAAGAGGAGGCAAGAAAUCUAAUAUGAGAUCCUGUAUUUCAAAAACCAUCAACCACCAAAAUAUACUGGUUUUAAAACACCUCGCCGUGAUUAGGCAGAUGAUUUUAUGGUAAAAACAGGUUAGUGAUUGGAGCCAUUACUUUGUUACUGUUACUAACAUCACUAAUACCAUGACAGCUGUGUCCACUCUGUAAGAUGUGCCAUUUAAUUGUAGUGUAGCAUCUGCACUAUCCAAUAUGGUGGCUCUUGUGAAUAAUGUGGUUGCUCAGAUUUAUAAAUGAGUGUUGGUAUGGACUUUGUUUUUCUUUUAAAUGAAAUAAACCAGAAAUAGUGA